CAUGGCUGAAACUCUCCAUUUCAAAGGUUUUGGAACUGUUUUAAAUGGUUGACUAGAUACUAAAAGGAAGAAGAAAAUGGAUAUGAAAACUGAGUCUCAGCUAGGAGUUUUCCUAGUUGCUUUUCUUGGGUCUUUCAGUUAAGAUGAGGAAACUGAAGCUCAGGGGAUGAAGUCUCUUGGCCAAAGGCACUCAGCUUGGAAGUAACAGAGGCAGAAUUUGAGCCAGAUUUGUUUGACUUCGAAGCUUCCUUUCUUAACCACUAGGCCACACACGUGGAGGUUGAGGAUCUUCACCUGGCCUCAGUGCACAGAGCUGGAACGCUGUUCUGAGAAGCCUCGCCACCUGUCCCACCUGUAGCGCUUCUCUGCAAAGCUCUGCUCGUUCUGAGGCGGGGCUGGCUGUCCUCUGACUCUGUGGAACUGUUACUCCUUCUAGAGUACCUUCCCUGAGAGGGCCAGUGUUUUCUCUUCCCAAGGAUGUUC
RNAcentral lists this long non-coding RNA (483 nucleotides) under Equus caballus (horse). RNAcentral's name for it is "lncRNA (ENSECAG00000058165.1)". Lineage: Eukaryota; Metazoa; Chordata; Mammalia; Perissodactyla; Equidae. The record is from RNAcentral.